Molecule: long non-coding RNA, 1749 nt
Filed under: Bemisia tabaci
Lineage: Eukaryota; Metazoa; Arthropoda; Insecta; Hemiptera; Aleyrodidae
Description: lncRNA ENSSSA3NGG005752
Source: RNAcentral
GUGCAUGCCUUUCUCGUUUAGCCUCUGAUAAGGUUAUUGUUUACUUUUCUUCCUGAUUGUGUAUACAUCUACAAAGCUGAAUUAUCACAUAUUUUCAAUUUAUUUUAUAUCACUUGUUUGUUAAUCCUACAUUUCUGUGGCACCGAUAAGUUUUAGUUGAAUUAUCUUGCGUGCUCUUGUUGAAUCUUAUGUGGAUUUAAAUAUUAAGGUGUUUUCCACGCUCCGCACUCUCAGUUUUGUCAAGAGACAUCGCCUACAAUGUAGUUUUUUUUCCUUUUUUCCCAGAGCAGCUCACACUUUAGAAAUUAUGCCUCCAUACACGAAAAUCAAUGAAUUGAAAGUAGAAGAAAAACGGAGAUACACAAUCAUUAUCAUCCUCAAAUACUUUGUGAAGGCUCCAAAACUAACGCAGAAAGGCACUUACUAUCAUUCAAAAAUAGCUGUGACAGACGAAUCAGUUGCACCACAGGACUUCAAAGUUUCCAUUUUCUGCCCUCUAUCCAGGCACCCGCCAUUGCCUAUAAACAGUGUUCUCCGCAUUCAAGGAAUAAAGGUAGAAGCUUACAAAAGUAUAGUGGAUGGUAGAAUUUUCGGCUCUGAAAACAUAGAUAUCAUCAAUCCCUUUAAUCCAACUGCCAUUCGUAAAUUGGAUGAAGCUACAAAACAGAGAUUGUCGGAGUUGGUUUCAGCUUUUCCGUACUUUUUUGAUGAAUCAAGGUUAGCAUUAAAACCUAACAGGUCUUUGUUGAAUUCACAACUCAUCACAUUUGAACAAACACAAUUCAAGCUGUUCUCGGUCUCCACUGGUGAAAAUCAAACUUUAAUUGGAGUCAUCAAUGAAAUCAGGGACUGCACUUUAGAUGAAGACACAAAAAUGUGGAACUUUUCAAUCUUUAUCACUGAUAAUACACUCUAUCCCAGUUCACUGAGAGUUUUCGUCAAGUGCUCUUUUGAUUCAAUGCCAAAUUUAUCCAGAUAUGCGGUAAUUUAUUUACGUAAUGUGAAAGUUCAAAGAAGCCAGUAUAUAUUUGAAGCUCAUAUAGAAGAAGGUAAAGAUAUUUUGGAUCUCAACCUGGCAUGUGGCAGAUUGCUUUCUGAUCUGGAUGAAAAGAAACUUAGCACUCUUCCUGAUACAGGUAAUUAUCGCUUCUCAUAAGUCAGCAAUCUGCACUAAUCAGAUAAUAGAUCACUUAAUAAGGUAUGAAUGAAGUAUUCUGGAACGUGUUUCAAGUAAUUACAUAUUUCUCUUUUAGUUGUAUGUAAAACAGAUGUACGCAACACAAAUUACUAAAACCAAUUCCUGACUAAGAUAUAAACAUUAUUAUUUAGCAACGGUUACGUAAAUUGAAUUUCCAGCUCACAAGAAAAUCCAGAGUCUACGCGAAUCAAAAGGCAGAAUACAACGAUUUUGGUCGAUUGAGCAGUAUUCCUUCCCAACCCUGUGUUGUUCAAAGAGUAAAGGACGAGCAAAGACUGAGCCUAAGCGCUGAGCUAGGAAUGCUAUAUUUUCAUAUUUUAGAGUCUAUUACACCAUCGUUCAGUGUGCGAUUAAAUCAAGUAGUUUAGGUUUUUUUUUCAUGAAUAGGAAGUUUGAAUCUAUACAUAAAAAACGUGUAGAUCUUAAUUAGGAGUUACAAUCAAUAAUUCUGUCGCAUAAAUCAAGUUUGGUAUGAAAGAGGUUGUUCCAUCCCCCAUUAGAUUUGGCCCCCUAUCAAAUAUGAUCCAUCUUUUCAGGAGUGAUACAGUAGC